This is a ribosomal RNA of 729 nucleotides. It matches the Rfam family "Eukaryotic large subunit ribosomal RNA", at positions 367 to 915 of the family's 3401-position model.
AAAAGUACUCUGAAGAGAGAGUUCAAGAGGACGUGAAACCGGUAGGGUGGAAACGGAUAGAGCCAAUGAACAAGCCCGUAUUCAGCUAGUCGGCUGCGUGCGGCCUGGCUAUACGUCCCGUAUGGGAGUAUGGUUGGGUGCGGUAUGCGGUUGGCUAGUGCAUUUGCGGGUGAUGUGCGCUGCGGCGUGUGUUGGAGCCCUGCGAACUGUCGUUAGAGGCCUUCGCUUCGGCUUAGGAACCUGGCGGCGGGUAGUAGUGGUCUCUAAUGCAUGUAGAUAAUACGGCUAGGUGCCUUCGCGCUGCCGUGUUGUGGAGGCUAGUUCACUGGUCGGUCGCAUGCGACUUGGCCUUUGGAUUGGUCCCUGCGAUGCGGUAGUGCCCUAGUCGACCCGCGGUGUAAAAGUUGGUCAUCUCUCCGACCCGUCUUGAAACACGGACCAAGGAGUCUAGCGUAUGCGCGAGUCAUUGGGUGGUAAACCCAUAGGCGUAAUGAAAGUGAAGGUUCAGCAAUGAACUGAUAUGCGAUCCGUUGGGCUACGGCCUAGCGGAGCAGCAUAGCCCCGUCAUUAGCAGACUUGCUCUCAGGGCGGACGGUAGAGCGCACCCAACUGGUACUCCGAUAGACGGUGAACGUAUAGCCAGAGCCGGACGCAGCCGACUAGCUGAAUACGGGCUUGUUGAUUGGCUCCUAACCGUUUCUCACCCUACCAAAUCGAUCGUCACUUGGG